GAUAGGUGAGAUGUAUACACAACCAAAAGUGUAUAUUAUCAAUUUAGCAUCUCGCAAUAUAAUUUUAUACAAUGUAUAAUAAGGUUUAAAGAUGCAGCUCAUCUCCAUUUUCAUAGGGGAUUUUUAAAAUUAAGUAUUGAAAAAUAAAAUAUUUAUAUUAUAAUAUAAAUAAGUCAACGACCAUGCGUGGACAGUAAAACGAAGUACAUGCGAAUGUAGUAGCCGUUUACUAUGAGACUAGGCAUUAUAAUUGAAUAUCAUAGUAUAAAUUGCCAUGAGAGUAGAAGCUUCAGUUUAUGAAGACUUCGAAAUCAUGGUUUUUUAUUUUUAGGAUAAACUUUUAGUUCAUAGUAAAUAAGUAUAUAUGUUUUUAAUUCGGCUAAAUCAUAGCAUUAAAUUUUUUAGAUGAAGCUAGCGAUAUUACGAAAUGAUAUAUAGAAGAUUUCAGUUAUAACAGUAUACGAAGUAAUCCUCUCCAUUUAACGGAUAAUAGUUAAUAAUCAGUUAAUUUUAAAUUCAAUUAUAGAUUAUUUGUGAUAAUACAAACAUUAUUUUUUAAGAUUUGAUUAAAGUUCGUUUUGAUUUUUAUAGCGAAAAAGUUGAGUAUCGGUAAUUUUAUCAUAUUGUUCGAGUAUAAAGGGAACUAUUUAAAUGUAAUGAAGGUUGCAUCAAAAUGACCGGUUUUCAGCAGCAUAAAUGAAUAAAUU
Molecule: small RNA, 707 nt
Filed under: Staphylococcus aureus KLT6
Lineage: Bacteria; Bacillati; Bacillota; Bacilli; Caryophanales; Staphylococcaceae
Description: SprC1
Rfam family: Small pathogenicity island RNA C (srn_3610) (bases 168-317)
Source: RNAcentral